Molecule: ribosomal RNA, 253 nt
Filed under: uncultured bacterium
Lineage: Bacteria
Description: partial 16S ribosomal RNA
Rfam family: Bacterial small subunit ribosomal RNA
Source: RNAcentral
UACAGAGGUCCCAAGCGUUGUUCGGAUUCAUUGGGCGUAAAGGGUGCGUAGGCGGCGCGGUAAGUCGGGUGUGAAAUCUCGGAGCUUAACUCCGAAACUGCAUUCGAUACUGCCGUGCUUGAGGACUGGAGAGGAGACUGGAAUUUACGGUGUAGCGGUGAAAUGCGUAGAUAUCGUAAGGAAGACCAGUGGCGAAGGCGGGUCUCUGGACAGUUCCUGACGCUGAGGCGCGAAGGCCAGGGGAGCAAACGGG